RNAcentral lists this ribosomal RNA (775 nucleotides) under uncultured bacterium. RNAcentral's name for it is "bacterial SSU rRNA". It matches the Rfam family "Bacterial small subunit ribosomal RNA", at positions 62 to 870 of the family's 1533-position model. The record is from RNAcentral.
UCGCACGAGAAAGUGGAGCAAUCCAUGAGUACAGUGGCGUACGGGUGAGUAACACGUGGAUCAUCUACCUCUUGAUGGGGAAUAACCCUGGGAAACCGGGGCUAAUACCGCAUAAGCCUGUAAAGGGAAAGCAGCAAUGCGUCGAGAGAGGAGUCCGCGGCCGAUUAGCUAGUUGGUAGGGUAAAGGCCUACCAAGGCAAUGAUCGGUAGCCGGCCUGAGAGGGCACACGGCCACACUGGCACUGAAACACGGGCCAGACUCCUACGGGAGGCAGCAGUGGGGAAUCUUGCACAAUGGAGGAAACUCUGAUGCAGCGACGCCGCGUGAGCGAUGAAGCCCUUCGGGGUGUAAAGCUCUUUCGGCAGGAACGAUAAUGACGGUACCUGCAGAAGAAGCUGCGGCUAACUACGUGCCAGCAGCCGCGGUAAUACGUAGGCAGCAAGCGUUGUUCGGAAUUACUGGGCGUAAAGAGUGUGUAGGCGGUUCUCUAAGUUCCGUGUGAAAUCUCCCGGCUCAACUGGGAGGGUGCGCGGGAAACUGGAGGGCUCGAGUAUGGGAGAGGAAAGCGGAAUUCCUGGUGUAGCGGUGAAAUGCGUAGAUAUCAGGAGGAACACCUGCGGUGUAGACAGCUUUCUGGACCAUCACUGACGCUGAGACACGAAAGCGUGGGUAGCAAACAGGAUUAGAUACCCUGGUAGUCCACGCCCUAAACGAUGCAUACUUGGUGUGAGCCGUUCAUUCGGUUCGUGCCGGAGCUAACGCGUUAAGUAUGCC